GACGAACGCUGGCGGCGUGCUUAACACAUGCAAGUCGAACGGAAAGGCCCCUUUGGGGGUACUCGAGUGGCGAACGGGUGAGUAACACGUGAGUAACCUGCCCUUGACUUCGUGAUAACUUCAGGAAACUGGGGCUAAUACCGGAUAGGAAUCCUUGCUGCAUGGUGGGGGUUGGAAAGCUUCGGCGGUUUGGGAUGGACUCGCGGCUUAUCAGCUUGUUGGUGGGGUAGUGGCUUACCAAGGCUUUGACGGGUAGCCGGCCUGAGAGGGCGACCGGCCACAUUGGGACUGAGAUACGGCCCAGACUCCUACGGGAGGCAGCAGUGGGGAAUAUUGCACAAUGGGCGGAAGCCUGAUGCAGCAACGCCGCGUGCGGGAUGACGGCCUUCGGGUUGUAAACCGCUUUCAGCAGGGGCGAAGCUUGUGGUGACGGUACCUGCAGAAGAAGCACCGGCUAACUACGUG
Molecule: ribosomal RNA, 465 nt
Filed under: uncultured bacterium
Lineage: Bacteria
Description: partial 16S ribosomal RNA
Rfam family: Bacterial small subunit ribosomal RNA
Source: RNAcentral